GGUCAGGCUGAAGACCUUACCCGAUUAGCUGAGAGGUGGUGCAUGGCCGUCGUCAGUUCGUACUGUGAAGCAUCCUGUUAAGUCAGGCAACGAGCGAGACCCACGUCCACAGUUGCCAGCAUACCCUCCGGGGUAGAUGGGUACACUGUGGAGACCGCCGCUGCUAAAGCGGAGGAAGGAGUGGGCAACGGUAGGUCAGUAUGCCCCGAAUCUCCCGGGCUACACGCGGGCUACAAUGGUUGGUACAAUGGGCAUCUACCCCGAAAGGGGAAGGAAAUCUCUUAAAGCCAAUCGUAGUUCGGAUUGAGGGCUGCAACUCGCCCUCAUGAAGCUGGAAUCCGUAGUAAUCGCGUUUCAACAGAACGCGGUGAAUACGUCCCUGCUCCUU
Molecule: ribosomal RNA, 388 nt
Filed under: uncultured Methanosaeta sp.
Lineage: Archaea; Methanobacteriati; Methanobacteriota; Methanomicrobia; Methanotrichales; Methanotrichaceae
Description: bacterial SSU rRNA
Rfam family: Archaeal small subunit ribosomal RNA
Source: RNAcentral